Molecule: long non-coding RNA, 819 nt
Filed under: Mytilus galloprovincialis (Mediterranean mussel)
Lineage: Eukaryota; Metazoa; Mollusca; Bivalvia; Mytilida; Mytilidae
Source: RNAcentral
GUAAAAUAUGUUUCUUUUAAAUUGACUGUGUCAAUCUUCAAGUUUGUUUGUUAAAUUGUUGUUUAUUAUUCUUCAUAGGUUAUCAUGAACAUUUGUUUUGUAAAAAUCUUGAAGAACAUGUACUAUGCUUGAAAUUGUACAAAUAACAUAUUAUAUAAGCUUUAAUGUAUAGUUUGAAACUUUGCACACAUUUUAGUGAACUAUUUCUAGAUGAAAUUUUAAAGACACUAUAUGACAUGAUAUUUAUUUUCCAAAUGUAAUUGAUUUUUCAUACAUUUUAUUGGCUGGAAAUAUAUUUAAAUCCUUGAAAAGAUUGAAGAGUUAGAUUUUGAUUUUUCAUGAAGGGGUUUACAAUGAGCUUUUUUGGCAACAAAAUAUGAUAUUUGAGAAAGUUAAUGGCCAUAUGCAUCAGUUUGAUACUUGGUUGAGUGAUGACAGGUUCAUAAAUUUUUAUCAUCUUUUCAUUUUACAAAUGAAACUGUUUUAUAUAACCCUUUCUUGUGAGGGUUAUUUUUGUUUUUCUACUUGUUGUUUUAUACUAUGUUGUUGUAAAUAAAGAAUAUUUUUAAAUUUUGAGUUUAAUCCAUUAUUAAUUGUUGAGAACACUUAUGCUUUAGAUCCAAAUGGAAAAAAAUAGGUGAAUAGCCCUAGGGACACUGUAGAGACAUUCAAACUUGUAAGUCAAAAAAUACGCUGACAUCCCAAUUACAAAAAGAGAAAAAGACCAAAACACAAACAACAGUAUACAAAACACAACAAAUUAAAGUUUGAGCAACACAUAACACACCAAAAAAGGGAGGAAACCAAGUUCAAUGGCAA